GGGAGUGUAGCUCUGUUGGGAGAGUGCUUGCCUAGCAUGCAGAGGGUCUGGGUUUGAUUCACAGCACUUCAU
RNAcentral lists this transfer RNA (72 nucleotides) under Rattus norvegicus (Norway rat). It matches the Rfam family "tRNA". From Rfam's summary of the family: Transfer RNA (tRNA) molecules are approximately 80 nucleotides in length. Their secondary structure includes four short double-helical elements and three loops (D, anti-codon, and T loops). The record is from Rfam by way of RNAcentral. Lineage: Eukaryota; Metazoa; Chordata; Mammalia; Rodentia; Muridae.